RNAcentral lists this ribosomal RNA (440 nucleotides) under uncultured bacterium. Its description in RNAcentral is "partial 16S ribosomal RNA". It matches the Rfam family "Bacterial small subunit ribosomal RNA", at positions 338 to 795 of the family's 1533-position model. The record is from RNAcentral.
CCUACGGGUGGCAGCAGUGGGGAAUAUUGCACAAUGGGGGAAACCCUGAUGCAGCGACGCCGCGUGAGUGAGGAAGUAUUUCGGUAUGUAAAGCUCUAUCAGCAGGGAAGAAAAUGACGGUACCUGACUAAGAAGCACCGGCUAACUACGUGCCAGCAGCCGCGGUAAUACGUAGGGGGCAAGCGUUAUCCGGAUUUACUGGGUGUAAAGGGGGCGUAGACGGUUAAUCAAGUCAGAAGUGAAAACCCAGGGCUCAACCUUGGGACUGCUUUUGAAACUGAGGAGCUAGAGUGCAGGAGAGGUAAGCGGAAUUCCUAGUGUAGCGGUGAAAUGCGUAGAUAUUAGGAGGAACACCAGUGGCGAAGGCGGCUUGCUGGGUCAAUACUGACAUUGAGGCACGAAAGCGUGGGGAGCAAACAGGAUUAGAUACCCCUGUAGUC